This 72-nucleotide antisense RNA is filed under the name Streptomyces alboflavus. Its description in RNAcentral is "ASpks TB sRNA". It matches the Rfam family "ASpks TB sRNA". Lineage: Bacteria; Bacillati; Actinomycetota; Actinomycetes; Kitasatosporales; Streptomycetaceae. The record is from Rfam by way of RNAcentral.
CUUCACCGAGCCGAGCCACAGCGGGUCACCCGCACGGUUCUGCCCGUACGUGGCGAGCAGCGCCUGGGCCUC